This 253-nucleotide unclassified non-coding RNA is filed under the name uncultured Caryophanales bacterium. RNAcentral's name for it is "uncultured Bacillales bacterium contains 16S-23S intergenic spacer region". It matches the Rfam family "Bacterial small subunit ribosomal RNA", at positions 524 to 776 of the family's 1533-position model. The record is from RNAcentral. Lineage: Bacteria; Bacillati; Bacillota; Bacilli; Caryophanales.
UACGUAGGUGGCAAGCGUUGUCCGGAAUUAUUGGGCGUAAAGCGCGUGCAGGCGGCCCCUUAAGUCUGAUGUGAAAGCCUGCGGCUCAACCGGGGAGGGGCAUUGGAUACUGGGAGGCUUGAGUAUAGGAGAGAAGAGUGGAAUUCCACGUGUAGCGGUGAAAUGCGUAGAGAUGGGGAGGAACACCAGUGGCGAAGGCGGCUCUUUGGCCUAUAACUGACGCUGAGGCGCGAAAGCGUGGGGAGCAAACAGG